Molecule: transfer RNA, 56 nt
Filed under: Ornithodoros furcosus
Lineage: Eukaryota; Metazoa; Arthropoda; Arachnida; Ixodida; Argasidae
Description: tRNA-Ser
Source: RNAcentral
UAAGAUCAACAAUAAGGGCUGCUAACCCUAAACAAAUGAACUUCAUUUGAUCUUUA